Molecule: long non-coding RNA, 1046 nt
Organism: Portunus trituberculatus (swimming crab)
Lineage: Eukaryota; Metazoa; Arthropoda; Malacostraca; Decapoda; Portunidae
Exons: 3
Source: RefSeq, a predicted model, not a curated record
GAGUAGACAUAUGUGUGAUUUUCCGUAUACUUUUGCGUUCCUGUGGUCGUUAUCUCUCUCUCUCUCUAUUUUUUUUUCAUAUUUUACACUGUUGUCCAGUUACUCCUCCUAUCUACUGCCAUCUUUUAUCUUUUCGCUUGACGAAGUGUCGGACUGUCCUGCUGUUGAUUCUUCAUUCUUGCCAAGUUGCCAUGCCUACAAAACCGUCCCGCCAGAGGCGUCUGUUGCCGUUGCUGCUGAGAAGAUCAACCCUUCAGUGGAACCAUGCGUGCUCUGGGGUCCGAGGGGUCUCUAAGCGCAUGGGUUCGAAUCCUGUCCACGGUCCGAGUGGCCUUGGCUGCUGUGUGUGCAUGGAAAGGAAGGAAGUUAUGCAUUGGUGCUACUGGCUCGUCACACUGCCACUGCAUUCCUCAAUAUUAAAUAAUUAAAAAUAUUUGGUAUCAUAGUGUGUUAGUUAGUGGACUGGUAGUGUUGCUGGUAACCAAGUAUUCAUGUGAUUUAAAGUCAAGACUCCAAAUUUUUUAUUUUUUUUUUAUUAGAGAUAAAGUUGUAUAAAAUAUACAUUUUAUAUUUAACAAAUUAUAUACUGUUGUAUAAUAAAGUUGUGUAUAUAUAGUUUUCUGAAACUACAAAGUAAGGCAGUUUACACUAUUUUAAUCUGCAACAUACUUGUGUAUACACAUAAGGUUUUGCAAAUACUGUUAUAGGCUCGUGGUCAUAGUGCAAGGAAGUUUGAAGCUUAUUACAAAUUAAUGUAAUUUACACUAUAGAUAGAAAAAUAUAUUAUAGUCUUGGAGACAAUGAUACAUGGUAUAAUAUAUUGUGUUAAGUUAUUGCAAAUGCUGCUAGAGGUGAAAGUAAAAGUUAUUCCAAGUACAAAAUGUUCUUACAUAUGGUUUUUGAGGCUUUGUUUAGCUGUGGGAUGUACUUAAUUCAUGAGUGACAGUGUAACAUAUAAUGGCUGGAUCUGGCAGCUGUUUUACGAAGAAACACUGUGUCAGCAUAAUUCACUUUACUGUAAAAAUUUUAUAUAUAUAUAUAUAUAU